AUUCCUCUUUUGAAAAUAUUUUUUUCACAGUUAGGUUCACUGGGGAUACAGAAACAAAGCAAAACUGGUUUUGCACAGCAAGUUCCGGAAGCAUUUGCACAAACCUCAAAUUCUUUAGCCUUUAAUAAGAAUCUGACAUUAAAGAAUAGAACCACUUUAACACAUGAAUAUGAGCACUUACUAAUAUUUACAAGUGCUGCUCCUCCUACUACUAUUUUUUUUGUUGGCCAAGGAUGACAUCAUACUUCAAAACAACCUAAAUUCUCCUUCUAUAUUUUUUUGCACACGAAUAAAACCGAUGAAAUGGAGAUGGUAAUGACUAGCGUGAACAGUGUUACUGAGCGAUGCUUUUACAGAAAGGAAUAAAAAAGACACCUCAUUUGCCCUGCAGUCGGUGUUUUGGGGCCGGGUUCUGUAAGGACUGACAGCUCGGUGCUCAAAAAGCCGGAGCUGGAGGAUCGCACCGCCCCUGGCACUGCCCCGAGCAAACUUUCAAAUCACCGCGUUAUUAAAUGGGAUUGCAGAGAAGACUCCCGCACGCAUCCAGAUUUUGUUCGCCCCCCCCCCGAAAAAUUAACUAAAAUAAAGCUCUUGAGAAAGGCCCCUCGGCGCACUGCCCGUCUCUCCGGGGGCCGCCGCUCCCCCCGCGCUGCGGGAGCUGCCCCCGCACCUCACCGGGACCCCCGGGAGGGUUCGAACCGCCUGGAGCUCCUCAGGAGGGCUCGUCCCGGGAACCCCUCGGGUGGGUUUGAACCGCCGGGAGCCCCGCAUAGGGAAGGAAAGGGUGACCCCGGAGCCGCGUCCCCGUGUCCCCCUCCGUGCCCUGCGCCGUGAGGGGACGCGGCGGGCGGCCCCUUUCCCGCCCUUCCCCUCACGGUACCUCAUGGGGCGCCCGGCGCCUCCUGCCCGCCGCCCGCCGCCAUCGCCGGGGCCGAGGGGGUGGGAGGGAGGAAGAGGAGGAGCCGUGAGGGGAGGAGAAGGAGGAAGGAGAGGAGUGAGGAGGAGGAAGGCUCGAGCUGGGCGUUGCUCUGGCAACGUCGCGGCCUUCGCCCCGCCGCGGGUCGUGAGGAGGCUGAAAACGCUGGCUGGCUGCAUCUCUGUGUCUCUUGGAGGUAUGUUUUGAGGAGGCAAUUUGGUCUACUUUUAUGAUGUUUUUGGAAACUGUGCCUAGAAUUUCCCGACUGGAAAGUUCAGGUCACAUAUCCUCUGCUUUUUGCUCAGGCUGUG
RNAcentral lists this long non-coding RNA (1227 nucleotides) under Serinus canaria (Common canary). RNAcentral's name for it is "lncRNA (ENSSCAG00000010836.1)". Lineage: Eukaryota; Metazoa; Chordata; Aves; Passeriformes; Fringillidae. The record is from RNAcentral.